Molecule: long non-coding RNA, 913 nt
Organism: Hyla sarda
Lineage: Eukaryota; Metazoa; Chordata; Amphibia; Anura; Hylidae
Exons: 3
Source: RefSeq, a predicted model, not a curated record
GCGGCGGUUAUGUCACAGUGGCAGUUGAAGGCAGUAACCCCUCCUUUGCCAGUUAGGUGCUAAUUUGAAUACACAGAAAAAGACCUGUAACGGGCGAACGGCGCAGCGGAUCCGGGAAAGACUGGGGAGGGGCUGGACGUAAGGUUGAGUCACUACUAUGUGCUUAGUACUGCAAAACUGCCAUAGGAAUAACUACAACCAGGGAAUAUUUCUCAAUAAUGUUGUCACUCCUGAAAUGUACUGGAUCAGUCUGAAGAAACAAGACCUAUCCUCAUAAAUCUCAAAGUUUAGUGUGUAGAGUUUCACCGAAGUAACAGCAGUCUUCAGCAGCACAGUCCAAAGGAAGAGAGUAAAGAUGGCUGAGAUGGAAGACCUGCCUAAGCGGUUGUUGGCGAAAGCAGCAGCGGAGGGAAAGUCUGGCUUAAAAGAGAAACCUUGAUGAAAACCCCAGCAGUGACGUGCAGCUACCAGAGCAGGAAGAGGAGGCACUCCUGGGUCUCUCCUCAUGUCUGGAUGUAUCAGGGCCUGGUAAGGAGUGCUAAAUUAUCUCCCAACAAAAGAAGAAGAGCCAGUGCCAUAGGUGAUAGAGCCUGGAGCCGCCUGCAUCAGACUGUGCCCAACCCAGAAGCAUAUGGGACAUCUUUUCCCUUCUGUAAGAAGGGUUGAGAGCAGGGCUCUGGCCAAAAGGCUGGCCCUGUCAGCUCAGCAUGUGGAGAGGGGAAAGUCCCGGAAGCCACCGUUGCUGAUCUUGAACCAGCUAUUAACUCUCUCUCUUCCAUAAAAUGUUUUACUAUGAAUGUACAUAUAUGUUUAUUCAUUUUUGUGUGUUCCACUACCAUGUGCACUUUAUUGUUUGGCCCUCCCAAUUAUCCUGGGUGCCAUGAGGAAUGGGUGAGUGCACCCUUACACACAA